Molecule: transfer RNA, 296 nt
Filed under: Malus domestica (apple)
Lineage: Eukaryota; Viridiplantae; Streptophyta; Magnoliopsida; Rosales; Rosaceae
Description: sRNA MD11G0173900
Rfam family: tRNA (bases 223-296)
Source: RNAcentral
AGGGAUGUAGCGCAGUUUUGGUAGCGUGUUUUGUUUUGGGUACAAAAUGUCACGAGUUCAAAUUUUGUCAUCCCUACCUAUUACUUAUCUUCUGAAUAGUAAUGAGGGAUCAAUUGAGAUCAAUUAAUAAAAUUGGACAUGCAUAAUUAAAUAAAUAUUUAAUUUUUUAUAGUAUAUAUGCAAGAUAAAUUGGGGUUACAAAAUAUUUAUUGUGAUAAUAAAGCGCUCUUAGUUCAGUUCAGUAGAACGUGGGUCUCCAAAACUUGAUGUCGUAGGUUCAAAUCCUACAGGUCGUG